RNA transcript from Dioscorea cayenensis subsp. rotundata (Guinea yam), 2875 nucleotides. It is a transcript of the gene named glutamate receptor 2.1-like, with no coding region annotated. The transcript has 5 exons. The record is from RefSeq and is a predicted model, not a curated record. Lineage: Eukaryota; Viridiplantae; Streptophyta; Magnoliopsida; Dioscoreales; Dioscoreaceae.
AGACAUAGAAAAGGUUUCAAUCUUUUUCAUUCCAUUGUUUUAGUGCCAUGUGGAGUUAGAACAAUAGUAUGAAACCAAAUAGAUAAAUUCAAAUUUUUACUUAGUGAUAUAAGGGAACAUUCCAUUGCCUACAAGAUAGAUUCCAAAUAAAUGAAUCUUCUCAGAAGCUUUCAUCCAGCACCAAGCAUGGACUUCUUUAUUUAUAAAUGUGCGGCAAGCUUGAAUUCAAAGUGAGAUGUUAAUUUGCUGAGUUUAAAUUGAGAUGCAAAAAACUCUUGUUGUUUUUGUUCAAUGUUUCUUGCUCUUCUUUGAUGUUUUUCAUAUUGAGGGUCAUAGUGUUGGAGCAAUCUUGAAUUAUGGUUCUAGUUUCGGAAGGGAAGAGGAAGUGGCAAUGGAGAUGGCCAUUGGAGAUAUCAACAACCUCACAAAUCAAGCAUUGGUUCUACAUACAAUGGACUCCAAUGGAGAUCCUUUUCUAGCUGUAUCUGCAGCAAUGACUUUGAUCAAUGAACAUCAUGCUAAAGCACUCAUAGGGCUAGCAACAUGGCAAGAAGCAUCAUUUGUUGUAGAGCUUGGAAGAAGAGCACAAGUACCAGUUCUUUCAUUGACUAGAACCUACCCUCCUGCCGCAACACGGGGGUGUCCUUUCUUAGUCCCUCUCGCUCACAGCCAAGUCCUUCAAAUGAAAGCAAUCGCAGCGAUUAUUCGAUCAUGAUCCUGGAAGAAAAUGUCCUUAAUUUACGAAGAUGUUGAAUACACAGCAACUAGCAUUAUUCCUCAUCUUGCAGAUGCACUUCAAGAUGCCGAUAUUGACUCUAGAGUAGCUCUUUCAUCUUAUGAUUCAUCUUUCUCCAAAGAAUUAGAAAUGCUUAGGAGUAGGCAAUCCAGAGUCUUUGUCGUCCACAAUUCAAUCCAGUUGGCUAUUAGGUUGUUCACAGAGGCAUACAAGAAGGGGAUGACGACAGAUGGUUAUAUAUGGAUUACAACUGAUGCAAUUACUGGUAAACUAGACCAUGUGAAUUCUUCAGUCAUUACUUUAAUGCAGGGAGUCUUAGGUGUUAAGAACUACUUCAAACCAAGAGCUCAGACUAGUGAUUUUAUUAAGAGAUUUCAAAGAAGGUUUCAUUCAGAGUAUCCUAAAGAAGGGAGGAGAAAACCCCAACUAUCUUCAUUCAUAGCAUAUGAUGCAAUAUGGGCAAUUGCAAAGGCUAUGACCAAAAGUAAGGUGAGUGGAGAACUUAAGAAAAUGCAGAACGACUCUGUUAUUGAUCCAUUAUUUGUUGAAAUCUCGGAAGAGGUCUGGUCUUUAUUGGAUGGUAUCAAACAAAGUAAUUUUUCAGGAUUAAGUGGUGAAUUCUUCUUUAAAGACAAUAAAUCUUCCCAUGUAUAUGCAUUUCAAAUUGUCAAUGUAGUUGGGAAGAGUUACAGAGAGUUAGGCUUCUGGUUACCAGAUAAUGGGUUUUCGAAGAGUUUGAAGAGAAAAGAAGGUAAUGAAACAUCAAUGAAGAUCUUAGGACAAGUGUAUUGGCCUGGAGGACCAUGGUCUGUUCCUAAGGGAUGCGUAUCCCCUACAAGUGAGAAACUGUUGAAGGUUGCAGUGCCUGCUAAAACUGUUUUUCCUGAGUUUUUGACAGUGAAGAAAGAAAGUGAUUACAAGACAUCGGCCGAAGGGUUCUCGAUCAAUGUAUUCAAGAAAGUCUUAGAUCACUUUUCAUAUUCCUUACCGUAUGAAUUCAUUCCUUUCAAUUGCUCAUAUGACAGUUUGCUUGAACAUAACCAAAUGCGGAAUUAUGACAUUCUCGUUGGUGAUACAUCAAUCUCCUCUGGUCGAUAUAACUAUGUUGAGUUCUCACAGCCUUACACAGCCUCAGGUCUGGCUAUGGUGGUGCCAGUAAAAUCAGAUUAAACAGGCAAAGCAUGGAUAUUCUUGAAACCGUUUAGAUGUUCAAUGUGGGCAUUAACUGCAAUUGUGAGCAUAUACAACAGUAUAAUUGUUUGGAUAAUUGAAAGAAGUAGCAACAUGGACUUCCGAGGUUCCUUUUGGAAUCAAUCUGCCACAUUAUUCUGGUUAUCAUUCACUACAUUACUGUCCCCUGGGGAGAAGCUUCAGAGCAAUUUAUCAAGAUUGGCAAUGGUGGUAUGGCUCUUUGCUGCGUUGGUAUUAACAUCAAACUAUACAGCUACAUUGAGUUCAAUACUCACCACUCGCCGUCUUGAACCAAGCCUUGUCGAUAUAGAUUCAUUGAAGAGCAGCAAUGCUGUUGUUGGUUGCAACACUGGCUCAGUUGUUGGUAAAUACCUCGAGAACGUGUUAGGCUUUCAGCGAAGAAACAUCAAACUAUUCACCUCAGGGGAUGACUACUUUCAAGCACUCAAAAAUGGCGACAUUAAAGCAGCUUUUCUUCGAAUUCCCCAUGCAAACAUACUUGUCUCCAAGCACUGCUUUGAGGUCAUUUCGGCUGGGCCAAUCUUCCAAGUUGGAGGUCUAGGAUUUGUUUUCCCAAAGGGUUCUCCCUUGUUGUCUGUCUUCUCGGAAACAAUUCUUAAGUUUUUGAAGAAGGAGAGCUUGAGAAACUAGAAAAGGCUACGCUCGCAAUAUACACUUAAUCUUAUGUGGGAGUGGAUGCUAGUGAUGUAGAUAGGUUAACUCCUGAAAGUUUUUGGGGUCUUUUUCUUUUAACUGUUGGUAUGUCCACAAUUUCUUUAGUUUUAUAUGGUCUUUGUUUCCACAAGAAUGAAUUGAAAUGUCAAGAAAAGUUAAAAGAGGAGCAGAAGAACAGUUCAGUGGAAUUGGCUUCAGGUGUCGGUGAUGAUGAGUAAACUAAGAUUAUUCAUCCAAUUGAAUGGUGAUGUAAGAUGAUAGUAGAUUUGUGCA